UACGAAGGGGGCUAGCGUUGUUCGGAAUCACUGGGCGUAAAGGGUGCGUAGGCGGCUUGAUAAGUCGGGGGUGAAAGCCUGUGGCUCAACCACAGAAUUGCCUUCGAUACUGUCGAGCUUGAGACCGGAAGAGGUAAGUGGAACUGCGAGUGUAGAGGUGAAAUUCGUAGAUAUUCGCAAGAACACCAGUGGCGAAGGCGGCUUACUGGUCCGGUUCUGACGCUGAGGCGCGAAAGCGUGGGGAGCAAACAGG
Molecule: ribosomal RNA, 253 nt
Filed under: uncultured bacterium
Lineage: Bacteria
Description: partial 16S ribosomal RNA
Rfam family: Bacterial small subunit ribosomal RNA
Source: RNAcentral